Molecule: ribosomal RNA, 507 nt
Filed under: uncultured bacterium
Lineage: Bacteria
Description: partial 16S ribosomal RNA
Rfam family: Bacterial small subunit ribosomal RNA
Source: RNAcentral
AUUGAACGCUGGCGGCAGGCCUAACACAUGCAAGUCGAGCGGCAGCGGGAAAGUAGCUUGCUACUUUUGCCGGCGAGCGGCGGACGGGUGAGUAAUGCCUGGGAAAUUGCCCAGUCGAGGGGGAUAACAGUUGGAAACGACUGCUAAUACCGCAUACGCCCUACGGGGAAAGCAGGGGACCUUCGGGCCUUGCGCGAUUGGAUAUGCCCAGGUGGGAUUAGCUAGUUGGUGAGGUAAUGGCUCACCAAGGCGACGAUCCCUAGCUGGUCUGAGAGGAUGACCAGCCAAACUGGAAAUGAGACACGGUCCAGACGCCUACGGGAGGCAGCAGUGGGGAAUAUUGCACAAUGGGGGAAACCCUGAUGCAGCCAUGCCGCGUGUGUGAAGAAGGCCUUCGGGUUGUAAAGCACUUUCAGCGAGGAGGAAAGGUUGAUGCCUAAUACGUAUCAACUGUGACGUUACUCGCAGAAGAAGCACCGGCUAACUCCGUGCCAGCAGCCGCGGUAA